GCCUAUGUGGCCUAAUGGAUAAGGCAUUGGCCUCCUAGGUCGGGGAUUGUGGGUUCAAGACCCAUCAGAGGUG
RNAcentral lists this transfer RNA (73 nucleotides) under Clytia hemisphaerica. RNAcentral's name for it is "tRNA-Arg for anticodon CCU". It matches the Rfam family "tRNA". Rfam says of the family: Transfer RNA (tRNA) molecules are approximately 80 nucleotides in length. The record is from Rfam by way of RNAcentral. Lineage: Eukaryota; Metazoa; Cnidaria; Hydrozoa; Leptothecata; Clytiidae.